AACGAACGCUGGCGGCAUGCCUAACACAUGCAAGUCGAACGAUUGCCUUCGGGUGAUAGUGGCGCACGGGUGCGUAACGCGUGGGAAUCUGCCCUUAGGUUCGGAAUAACAGCUGGAAACGGCUGCUAAUACCGGAUGAUAUCGCGAGAUCAAAGAUUUAUCGCCUGAGGAUGAGCCCGCGUUGGAUUAGGUAGGUGGUGGGGUAAAGGCCUACCAAGCCGACGAUCCAUAGCUGGUCUGAGAGGAUGAUCAGCCACACUGGGACUGAGACACGGCCCAGACUCCUACGGGAGGCAGCAGUGGGGAAUAUUGGACAAUGGGCGCAAGCCUGAUCCAGCAAUGCCGCGUGAGUGAUGAAGGCCCUAGGGUUGUAAAGCUCUUUUACCCGGGAAGAUAAUGACUGUACCGGGAGAAUAAGCCCCGGCUAACUCCGUG
RNAcentral lists this ribosomal RNA (435 nucleotides) under uncultured bacterium. Its description in RNAcentral is "partial 16S ribosomal RNA". It matches the Rfam family "Bacterial small subunit ribosomal RNA", at positions 29 to 507 of the family's 1533-position model. The record is from RNAcentral.